UACGAAGGGAGCUAGCGUUGUUCGGAAUCACUGGGCGUAAAGCGCACGUAGGCGGAUGUGUCAGUCAGGGGUGAAAUCCCGGAGCUCAACUUCGGAACUGCCUUUGAUACAGCACAUCUGGAGUCCGGAAGAGGUGGGUGGAAUUCCUAGUGUAGAGGUGAAAUUCGUAGAUAUUCGGAGGAACACCAGUGGCGAAGGCGGCUCACUGGUCCAUUACUGACGCUGAGGUGCGAAAGCGUGGGGAGCAAACAGG
Molecule: ribosomal RNA, 253 nt
Filed under: uncultured bacterium
Lineage: Bacteria
Description: partial 16S ribosomal RNA
Rfam family: Bacterial small subunit ribosomal RNA
Source: RNAcentral